CCUACGGGUGGCAGCAGUGAGGAAUAUUGGUCAAUGGACGAGAGUCUGAACCAGCCAAGUAGCGUGAAGGAUGACUGCCCUAUGGGUUGUAAACUUCUUUUAUAUGGGAAUAAAACGUUCCACGUGUGGGAUUUUGUAUGUAACAUAUGAAUAAGGAUUGGCUAACUCCGUGCCAGCAGCCGCGGUAAUACGGAGGAUCCGAGCGUUAUCCGGAUUUAUUGGGUUUAAAGGGCGCGUAGGUGGAUUGUUAAGUCAGUUGUGAAAGUUUGCGGCUCAACCGUAAAAUUGCAGUUGAAACUGGCAGUCUUGAGUACAGUAGAGGUGGGCGGAAUGCGUGGUGUAGCGGUGAAAUGCUUAGAUAUCACGAAGAACUCCGAUUGCGAAGGCAGUUCACUGGACUGCAACUGACACUGAGGCUCGAAAGUGUGGGUAUCAAACAGGAUUAGAUACCCCUGUAGUC
RNAcentral lists this ribosomal RNA (460 nucleotides) under uncultured bacterium. RNAcentral describes it as "partial 16S ribosomal RNA". It matches the Rfam family "Bacterial small subunit ribosomal RNA", at positions 338 to 795 of the family's 1533-position model. The record is from RNAcentral.